CUCAACAGGCCACCGUGACGGAGGAGCUGGGCCGCACACAGGCUGCUGGGAGGCAGGCAGGGACUUGGUCCCGGGAGGCCGCCGUGAGGCGAGAGCUGGGCCUGGAGACGCCCCUGGGAGGCAAGAGCGGGGCCUGCAGAGGCUGUUCUCCAGCCAGACCUGGGCCUGUACAGGCCACCGGGAGGCAGGAGGUGGGACUGAGGAGCUUCGCUGGAGAAAGUUCAGGGUCUACAAAAGCCGGCGGGAGCUGGGCAGGAGCUGAGCCAAAAGAGCUUGCUUGCUGGGAGGCCGGAGCUGGGCCUGGAGAGGCUGACUUCAGGACCACUUGGGCCUGCAGAGGCCGCCGGGAGGCCCAAGCUGGGCCUGGAGAAGCCCACCGACCGGAGGCCGUUUGGGGCCUGGAGACGCCGUCGGAGGGCAGGAGCUGAGCCUGGAGAGGCCACCGUGAGGCCUGAGCUGGGCCUGGGGAGCUUGGCUUGAGGAAGCUGUGGGCCGACCAAGGCCACCACGAGCUGGGCAGGCACUGAGUCCAAAGAGGUUGUUGGGAGGCAGGAGCCGGGCCUGCAGACGGAGCCGGGAGGAAGAGCUGGGCCCGGAGAGGACGCCGGGAGGCUGCAAGUGGGUCUGGAGAGGCCGACUUGAGGAGCUUCUGGGCCCGGAGAGGCCGCCGGACGGGAAAAACUGGGCUGGGAAAGGCCGUUGUGAGGAAUGAGCCCCAUGGGCCUGAGGAGGCCACUGGCAGGCGGGAGCUGGGCCUGCCGAAGCGGCGGAGAGGCCGGAGCUUUGGACUCGGGAGGCCGCAGGCGAGAGCGAGCUGGGCGUGGAGAGUCCGCUGUGAGGCAGAGGCUGGGCCUGUGCAAGCUUUCGGGAGGCAGGAGGCCAGGCCUGCAGAGGCCGACUGGAGGUCAAGUUCGGGGCCUGCAGAGGCCGCGGAAAGUCAGAAGCGGGGCCUGGGAAGGCCGCCGGGAGGCAUGAGCUGGGCUGGGCUGAAAGAGGCCACUGGGAGACAGGAGGAGCUGG
This 1020-nucleotide long non-coding RNA is filed under the name Homo sapiens (human). Its description in RNAcentral is "HSALNT0341125". The record is from RNAcentral. Lineage: Eukaryota; Metazoa; Chordata; Mammalia; Primates; Hominidae.